CUGGAAAAACCGUAGCCUUGACUAGAUGAACCUUUGUCAGAAGCUAUCAGUAAUGUCUCUGCUUUUCAACACACUGUCUAGGUUUGCCAUGGCUUUCCAGCCAAGAAGCAAUUGUGUUCUGAUGUCAUGUCUGCAGUCACCAUCUGCAGUGAUUUUAGAGCCCAGAAAGAGGAAAGUUGUCAUGACUUCCACCUUUUCUCUUUCUAUUUGCCAUGAAGUAAUGAG
Long non-coding RNA from Cervus elaphus (red deer), 225 nucleotides. RefSeq lists it as uncharacterized. The record is from RefSeq and is a predicted model, not a curated record. Lineage: Eukaryota; Metazoa; Chordata; Mammalia; Artiodactyla; Cervidae. The transcript is spliced from 3 exons.